AGAGAAGGUCGAGCUGAGGGCACAGCUGGCUCUACAAUCAGCUUCUGAUAAACGUCUGACUGAAAAGUAUGUCAAGCCGAGGGUAAAGCUUCUACAAUCAGAUUCUACAGGAGCCAUAAGAAAGAAUCUUUCCAGCCGGGAUGCCACUGAUGAGGCUGUCCAGAACCAGGUCCCCAGGUACCAGAAAGGGG
This is a long non-coding RNA of Esox lucius (northern pike), 191 nucleotides long. RefSeq lists it as uncharacterized. The record is from RefSeq and is a predicted model, not a curated record. The transcript is spliced from 3 exons. NCBI's taxonomy places the organism in Eukaryota, Metazoa, Chordata, Actinopteri, Esociformes, Esocidae.